UACGGGGGGUGCUAGCGUUAUUCGGAAUCAUUGAGCGUAAAGGGCGCGUAGGCGGUCUCUUAAGUCAGAUGUGAAAGCCCUCGGCUUAACCGAGGAAGUGCAUUUGAUACUAAGAGACUUGAGUAUGGGAGAGGGAAGCGGAAUUCCUGGUGUAGCGGUGAAAUGCGUAGAUAUCAGGAGGAACACCGGUGGCGAAGGCGGCUUCCUGGACCAAUACUGACGCUGAGGCGCGAAGGCGUGGGGAGCAAACAGG
This 253-nucleotide ribosomal RNA is filed under the name uncultured bacterium. Its description in RNAcentral is "partial 16S ribosomal RNA". It matches the Rfam family "Bacterial small subunit ribosomal RNA", at positions 524 to 776 of the family's 1533-position model. The record is from RNAcentral.